GGAUGUGAGGGCAAACUGGCUGCAACAUCUGUCACCUCAUUGAUUGCCAGGGUUGAUUCGGCUAAUCUGGCUGGCUAGGCAGGUGUCCCCUUCAUCCCUCACCACCCUAUGUGUAUCCCUCCCAAAGCUGUGAGCUCAGUGAAAGAGGACGCCAUCCCAGAUCGAAGGAGUGUACCAUUCUUUGGUCAAGGGUAUACAAUAGUUGUGCAGCCCUGCUAGAACCUCCAAACAAGCUCAAGGUCCAUUUGUAGGAGACGUAGGGUAAUCAAGCUUCCAAGACUCCAGACACUACCAGAGU
Molecule: small nuclear RNA, 298 nt
Filed under: Salvator merianae (Argentine black and white tegu)
Lineage: Eukaryota; Metazoa; Chordata; Lepidosauria; Squamata; Teiidae
Description: 7SK RNA (ENSSMRG00000013346.1)
Rfam family: 7SK RNA
About the family: 7SK was discovered as an abundant small nuclear RNA in the mid-70s but a possible function has only recently been suggested.
Source: RNAcentral